This 3803-nucleotide long non-coding RNA is filed under the name Musa acuminata (dwarf banana). RNAcentral describes it as "long non-coding RNA (MACU_LNC004445)". Lineage: Eukaryota; Viridiplantae; Streptophyta; Magnoliopsida; Zingiberales; Musaceae. The record is from RNAcentral.
AAGGUUGGAUACUACUCCUAUGGCUGCCCAGCAGCUGAGCUCAUUGUUAAGGAGGAGGUCGAGAAGGCUCUGAUAGAUGACCCUGGCGUCGGUGCUGACCUUCUCCGGAUGCACUUCCACGACUGCUUCGUGAGGGUGAGUUCCUUCUCGACUCCUUGAUGUAUUAUUGCAUACACGGAUUCGUUUGUGUUGGAAUUGGAUGAAUGGCCGUGCACACCACACCAGGGUUGCGAUGGCUCGGUUCUUAUCGAUUCGACGGAGGACAACACCGCCGAGAAGGAUGCACAAAUCAAUCUAACCCUCGAAGGAUUUGAGAUUAUCGACGCUAUCAAGGAAAAGUUGGAGGCCGCCUGCAAAGGAGUCGUCUCGUGCGCAGACCUUCUGGCAUUCGCCGCCAGAGACAGCGUCGUACAUGUGAGCUUCAUUGAUGCUCUGUAUUCCCCUGCUGCCGAUUCAUGCGAUUGAUAUCGGCAUUAGCUUCUCGAUGUAGCCAUUUAACUUGGGAUUGAACUGGUGGUCUUGGACAGUACGGAGGAAUUCACUACAGAGUCCCUGCAGGCAGAAAAGAUGGAACGGUAUCCAAGGAAGGCGACACGAGCAUUCUCCCUUCGCCGGCCCUUGACCUCACUGAGCUCACAAAGUUGUUCAUCUCCAAGGGGUUGAGCCAAAAUGACAUGAUCACUCUUUCAGGUAAUAAUUAAGAAGCUCCCGCGACUCACUACAUAAUCAAAUGCGCACGCAGAGAGAUCUGAGAUAGCUUCCACGCGCGUGCAGGAGCGCACACGGUCGGCAUCGCCCACUGUGACGCCUUCACCGACAGGCUGUACGACACAGACGAGACGCUGGAUCAGAAGUACGCAAAGGCGCUGCGGAAGCAGUGCCCUCCGGGCAGCAACAACACGGUGUCGAUGGACCCGAAAAGCCCUCGAAGGUUCGACAACCAUUACUACAGGAGCCUCCUGAAGAACCGAGGGCUGUUCAUCUCGGACCAGACCCUCCUUUCCACGCAGGGCACGACGACGCAGGUGAAGCGGCUCGCGAGCAACUACAAGCGCUUCCAGCGGAAGUUCGCGGCUGCCAUAGUGAAGAUGGGCGAGAUCGGAAUCCUCACCGGGAGCGAGGGCGAGGUUCGCGCCAAUUGCAGGAAGAUCAACUGAUGAUGACUGCCAUUGACAAACGAGACAGAUCCCUUUCGGUGGAGUACUUCAUCAUCUUAUAUAUAUAUGUAUAUUUUAUUUGUUGGAGAUUGCCUGUAUUGUUUCAUGUGAUUCUUCUUCUUCUUCUUCUCCUCCCUUCUUGAAAUAUGUCUAUCUUUGAUGAAUAAUGAGGGUGUCAAAGACAUGUUUUGGGAAUCAUCUCAUCUGUGCGUGUCGGUGAAAUGAGCUGAGAUUUCUUUCUCCUUUUUCUUUAUGGUGUUGAACUUUUAUUAUAUUUUAGUGCAAAGCAAAAGCCACACCACUGGCUAUGGUAUUAUAUCUUCAAUCAUUGAUGUAGAAUUGGAUCUCCUGCUACGGUCGAUGGUAAUGCAAUGCAAUCAUUGAUGUAGAAGCCGCCGAUGGAGAAGUUGAAACUACCGAGCAAUUCGACAAUUGCAAUACGUGGUAUCUGCCACAGACGAGCAAAUGCAAGUUGGAAGUUGUCGGUCCUCAUCGUGUGAUGUGAAGCGGUCUCGUGUCCAACCCAAAUCGGUCGCUUAUUGCAACGCUAACUCUCAUACUUACUCAGAUUAGUUGAAUUAAUAAUGACAACAAUAAUUUGAAUUUUUUUAUUAUUGUUGUUACGGGAAUCGAUUAAAUGUUACCAUCCCCAUCAUUUUCUUGGAAGAGAACAAUUUUCAGCACAACUGUUAUUUCUGUGAUGUCCGAUGCAUUUGGUCACAUGACCAAUAAUGCAGGGAGCUGUUACUGCUUGAUUAUUAUAUUGGGUAUGUGGAUCCUAAACGAAGUCCAUACCCGUUAUUCGUACUUGCUCCGUUAACAGUAACGGAUAUUGCGAAUUGGAUCCCACGAGUUGUGGGUACAAACUGCUAUGAUGGGUUCCAGCGAUGACGUUGAAUCAAACCCGUUGCGAGAUGAAAUUAGCAACCACUUCAUGAGUCGAUCGAUGCAGUCUCCCACGGGUGGAGCCCUGUGAUUCAACCCACAUGGUGAGGAGAUUAAAAUAACCCCAAUAACAGAUGGAUAAGACUUGAGAGCAGGCAUCAUGUCCUAAUCCAAUAUUCACAAGCACAGCGACCAACCAACAACCACAUUAAAUUGAAACAUGAAAGAGGGACGAAGGUUUCAUAUAUUAUCAGACCUUUUUCUCAGAACAAAUUAUACUACCGACAAUAGGAUUGUCUUGACAAUCCUGUCGCUGUAAAGCAGCAUUGGCUCAUCAAUCGAUCUCUAUAGUGUGUAAAUUUCUUAACAGGAAGGCCUCUACUAAUCUCUAAUAGACUACACCAAAGAACAGCUGCUCUAAAGUAAAUGUAAUGUCAUAGCGGAACGUGUCCAAAUUAUAUAUAAUGUGUGGGCCCAAAUUAGGUCAAGAAAUCCGGUCCAAGCAUGCUUAUUGUACAGAGUCGCCGACAAGGUCUUACGUUCUUUGACUGUUGCCACGCUGUGAUAUGGAACUUAACAGGAACGCCAUAAAGCCGAUGCAAUCCUUAUCAGAUUGGUUAUUUGCAGGAUUCAACUUGGUGUAACCACUGAAACCUGGAUCACAUCGAACAGCAAAUGCAUGCAUCAGAAUAUUGGGUGAUGGUUGGCUGGACAGCCCAAAUCCAUCUGUCUCCCGCAUUAAUGCACAAAAUUUUCUUCGUCUCCAACACAAAAUGCGAAUAAAGAACGACUCAUCUCUCACUCUUAAUUCAUCGAUCGCGUAAUUCGAUGACCACUCACAUGGAAGCAAGCAGCCAAAUCAAUUCCUUGUUCUUUCAACUGGAUCAUCCACCAUUUUAUCUCUAAAAUAUGCAUUUUUGGCCACAUGUUCUUGGUGAACCGUCCAUGUCUCUAGCCACAUCCACACUCUAUAAUGCUAGCUAAAAUAUGCAUUAGUUAGCCGACCCCUGUGAUUUUUGGAGAUUCUUAAUGCAUAUUGUUUCGCAUCCUGACAGUGCACAUGAAUUGUGUUUCUAUUUGUAACAUUUACCACGACAGAAGCUCUAAGUUAUUUCAGUAGCAGCCGAAGCUGCAUGACAAACUCGCACAUGAUUAGCUAAUGGCGGGACAGCAUUCGAGCUAAGCACUCAUGUCACCGGUCGCCAGACGGGGCCCCACGUUGUGUUGAGGAGCUGUAAGACAGUGAUUCGUUCACGUAUCUGCUCGGUGUUGUCUUGGUUUCUGGAGAGGGGUAAUGGUUUGGUGACGGCUUCCAGCUUCACAUGGGGCUGCCACUGAUAAUGGGCAUUAUUUGGCGCGUCUUUGUUCUAUAAAGAGGGACAAGACCUCAUUGCACCACAACACCACAUAGCCGAGCCCACUAAGAUUUAGAGGAAGAUGGCUUUGGGAAGAGGAGAGAUGUCGCUAGCCAUCAUUGCGGUCUUGUGCCUCAGCGCAAUGGGGACAGAAGCCUAUCUCAAAGUUGGCUUCUACUCCUACAGCUGUCCUAAAGCGGAGGAGAUCGUUAAGGAGGAGCUUGAUAAGGCUCUGCAGGAAGACAAGGGCAUUGGCUCUGACCUUCUCAGGAUGCACUUCCAUGACUGUUUCGUGAGGGUUAGUUCCUCUUUGACACCUUAUCUUACUUGUUUACCUGACCUUCUCAGGAUGUGCUGAAGAGUAAAUGAGAUUGACGUUGUGUUCGGGAUGGAUCGUGUCAGGGUU